UUUGUUGUUUUUGAAAUCAAUUCAGAAGUCGGAUGUGAAAUGGAUGCCGAAAUUUUGCUUUUUUAUUUCGCUGCUGUGGAACAAAUUCAGCGAUGCAAGUUUCUGCUCAAAGUGAAUCAAUGGUCACAAUGGUCACGUACGAGGUCAUCAUGGAGCAUAUUGCCACGGACUGUGUAAUCAACGUCAACUUCCCUUAUUUGGAAUCGCUACUGAACGAGUUCAAAUCUCCAAAAAGUUCAUCAAAGGGCAGAUUUUGAGCGACUAUCGAGCUGAAUGUGAAGUUUGAUCUGAUCCGGGAUGCUAUCGACGACGAUGUGGCCGAGGAACUCAAGCCCAAACUAUCCGAUCUGUGCUCCGUCAUCAAGAAGUUUCCCUGUCCGACGCCGAAACAUCGGCUCUGUCAGAGCGAAACCAUCCAGCGGUUGGCAUAUCUCAUUCGACAUUCUCCGCUCAGGAUCUGCAUAUUAACAGCUGUGCGUUCAUGCGAAAUGCACUCGACAAAGCGACCUUUGCCCCGGGAGUACGUGCUCGAGAAAUUGCGGCUUAUGCUAAGCGCGUUUCUGGACGAGGAUUUGCGGAAGUAUGAGAUAGUGUUUGAAGGAAAAUUUAGAUGUUAAUUUUAGUUUAGUUUAGAUUAUUACUGCAAUAGUGAAAUAAAAAUACACUCAAGAAUAAAUGAAUGGACACACAUUCUAUCGUAGGCAAAAAAUCUAUUGUAAAAAUAUAUGGCAUCAGCGCGUUUGAAAUGAAUCAUGAUAUUUGUGUAUGUUUGGGAAUAAAAUAAUUUGGCAUAUGGAUAAGUACAGUGCAACUGGA
Molecule: long non-coding RNA, 816 nt
Organism: Toxorhynchites rutilus septentrionalis
Lineage: Eukaryota; Metazoa; Arthropoda; Insecta; Diptera; Culicidae
Exons: 3
Source: RefSeq, a predicted model, not a curated record